GACGAACGCUGGCGGCGUGCUUAACACAUGCAAGUCGAGCGGAAAGGCCUCUUUCGGGGGGUACUCGAGUGGCGAACGGGUGAGUAACACGUGAGUAACCUGCCCUUGACUUUGGGAUAACUUCAGGAAACUGGGGCUAAUACCGGAUAGGAGCUCCUGCUGCAUGGUGGGGGUUGGAAAGUUUCGGCGGUUGGGGAUGGACUCGCGGCUUAUCAGCUUGUUGGUGGGGUAGUGGCUUACCAAGGCUUUGACGGGUAGCCGGCCUGAGAGGGUGACCGGCCACAUUGGGACUGAGAUACGGCCCAGACGCCUACGGGAGGCAGCAGUGGGGAAUAUUGCACAAUGGGUGGAAGCCUGAUGCAGCAACGCCGGGUGCGGGAUGACGGCCUUCGGGUUGUAAACCGCUUUCGCUCAUGACGAAGCUUUGUGUGACGGUAGUGGGUAAAGAAGCACCGGCUAACUACGUG
RNAcentral lists this ribosomal RNA (467 nucleotides) under uncultured bacterium. Its description in RNAcentral is "partial 16S ribosomal RNA". It matches the Rfam family "Bacterial small subunit ribosomal RNA", at positions 28 to 507 of the family's 1533-position model. The record is from RNAcentral.